UCUUCCUCCUGCUCUGGCCAUGUAAGA
RNAcentral lists this non-coding RNA (27 nucleotides) under Homo sapiens (human). The record is from RNAcentral. Lineage: Eukaryota; Metazoa; Chordata; Mammalia; Primates; Hominidae.